This 527-nucleotide ribosomal RNA is filed under the name uncultured bacterium. Its description in RNAcentral is "bacterial SSU rRNA". It matches the Rfam family "Bacterial small subunit ribosomal RNA", at positions 973 to 1500 of the family's 1533-position model. The record is from RNAcentral.
ACCAAGACUUGACAUCCCGCUGACCGCUCUAGAGAUAGAGUUUCCCUUCGGGGCAGCGGUGACAGGUGGUGCAUGGUUGUCGUCAGCUCGUGUCGUGAGAUGUUGGGUUAAGUCCCGCAACGAGCGCAACCCUUACAUUGUGUUGCCAUCAUUUGGUUGGGCACUCACAAUGGACUGCCGGUGACAAACCGGAGGAAGGCGGGGAUGACGUCAAAUCAUCAUGCCCCUUAUGUCUUGGGCUACACACGUGCUACAAUGGGCGGUACAAAGGGAUGCGAAACCGCGAGGUGGAGCCAAUCUCAUAAAGCCGUUCGUAGUUCGGAUUGCAGGCUGCAACUCGCCUGCAUGAAGCCGGAAUUGCUAGUAAUCGCGGAUCAGCAUGCCGCGGUGAAUUCGUUCCCGGGCCUUGUACACACCGCCCGUCACACCACGGGAGUUGGCAACACCCAAAGUCGGUGAGGUAACCUUCGGGAGCCAGCCGCCUAAGGUGGGGUCGAUNAACUGGGGUGAAGUCGUAACAAGGUAGC